UGAAGAGUUUGAUCCUGGCUCAGGAUGAACGCUAGCGGCAGGCUUAACACAUGCAAGUCGAGGGGUAAGGUAGCAAUAUCUGAGACCGGCGCACGGGUGCGUAACGCGUAUGCAAUCUACCUUUUGCAGAGGGAUAGCCCAGAGAAAUUUGGAUUAAUACCUCAUAGUAUAGUACCUUCGCAUGGAGGAACUAUUAAAGUCACAACGGCAAAAGAUGAGCAUGCGUCCCAUUAGUUAGUUGGUAAGGUAACGGCUUACCAAGACAGCGAUGGGUAGGGGUCCUGAGAGGGAGAUCCCCCACACUGGUACUGAGACACGGACCAGACUCCUACGGGAGGCAGCAGUGAGGAAUAUUGGACAAUGGGCGCAAGCCUGAUCCAGCCAUGCCGCGUGCAGGAAGACGCAUCUAUGGUGUGUAAACUGCUUUUGUACGGGAAGAAACACUCCCUCGUGAGGGAGCUUGACGGUACCGUAAGAAUAAGGAUCGGCUAACUCCGUGCCAGCAGCCGCGGUAAUACGGAGGAUCCAAGCGUUAUCCGGAAUCAUUGGGUUUAAAGGGUCCGUAGGCGGUUUGGUAAGUCAGUGGUGAAAGCCCAUCGCUUAACGAUGGAACGGCCAUUGAUACUGCCAGACUUGAAUUACUAGGAAGUAACUAGAAUAUGUAGUGUAGCGGUGAAAUGCUUAGAUAUUACAUGGAAUACCAAUUGCGAAGGCAGGUUACUACUAGUGGAUUGACGCUGAUGGACGAAAGCGUGGGGAGCGAACAGGAUUAGAUACCCUGGUAGUCCACGCCGUAAACGAUGGAUACUAGCUGUUCGGAGCAAUCUGAGUGGCUAAGCGAAAGUGAUAAGUAUCCCACCUGGGGAGUACGUUCGCAAGAAUGAAACUCAAAGGAAUUGACGGGGGCCCGCACAAGCGGUGGAGCAUGUGGUUUAAUUCGAUGAUACGCGAGGAACCUUACCAAGGCUUAAAUGUAGAUUGACCGUUUUGGAAACAGAACUUUCGCAAGACAAUUUACAAGGUGCUGCAUGGUUGUCGUCAGCUCGUGCCGUGAGGUGUCAGGUUAAGUCCUAUAACGAGCGCAACCCCUGUUGUUAGUUGCCAGCGAGUCAUGUCGGGAACUCUAACAAGACUGCCAGUGUAAACUGUGAGGAAGGUGGGGAUGACGUCAAAUCAUCACGGCCCUUACGCCUUGGGCUACAC
RNAcentral lists this ribosomal RNA (1203 nucleotides) under uncultured bacterium. RNAcentral describes it as "bacterial SSU rRNA". It matches the Rfam family "Bacterial small subunit ribosomal RNA", at positions 1 to 1219 of the family's 1533-position model. The record is from RNAcentral.